Molecule: long non-coding RNA, 1351 nt
Organism: Pezoporus occidentalis (night parrot)
Lineage: Eukaryota; Metazoa; Chordata; Aves; Psittaciformes; Psittacidae
Exons: 2
Source: RefSeq, a predicted model, not a curated record
CUCUCCCCAUUGAAUAUAAUGGAAAAGUGGGGCACUUGGUUUUGGAGCAUCAAUCCUUUAUGUACAUGAAGCUUAGAUGCAAGUCCUGUGCUUAAAUUAUGCAGGCUGAAUGUGCACUGCUGAGGGGUCAGAAGACAGUUCCUGCCGCCCUUGUACUACAGGAGAAACCUGCAUCAGAAGUUUGUUACUGGUUGUGUACUCUUCCAUGCUGCUAAGUGUUCACGGACCCAGGUCAAGUCUACUGAUCCAACAAUUUCUAGUAACAUUGCGAAAAAUCUGCAUAACAAAAAACAAGUACCACCUUUUUAUUUCAAUAAAAAUAAAACUUUCUGUAAUUUCACUGAAUAAAAUUAUGCCUUUCCUCUACACAAAUAUCCUCCUACAAUCCUAAAAAUAUCGACUAUGAGCAGAAAACCAGCUAACUGUGAAAAGCAAUCAGAUCUUUGCACAUUUUAAAAUUAUUUCCUAUGCAAGUUACCUCACAAACCAUACUCCAGGGAUGCAGUCUGAGGCACCAGAGCCCAAGAUAAGUUCACUGCAGGUUAAAACUUUUGCAAUUCCAAUGAUAAAUUACAACUGGAAAUAAAAGAGGCCAGUGCUGAUCUCUGAAUUGUGAAAUUACUCAGGUGAGGCUACUCUCCCUCAUUAAUAGGAAAAGACAUAAUCUCUACCAUAGUCUUACGCUGCUUUCCCCAGCAGUAAGUAUCACCUCUGCCCUAUUUAAAUUAAAUCUCAGCUAGUCAUCAAGGUCUCACUCAAGCCCUUUUGUCAAUCAGGCACUGGGAAAACCAGAACACUGGCACCAUCUGAGUCAGAUUAAAAAGGAGAUCUAGAGAUAUGUGCCAUUGAUGUCUCAAGCUGCCUGUAUCCCCAGGUAGCUUCACAUACUUACUACACCUAUAGGAUCUGUAAGCAAGCAACUACAUCCACAUGGGGAAGCAGGACUUGCAUGUGAGUACCCCAUGAUUCAAGGCAAAAGAGAAAAAGCAAAACCAAACAAGUGUUGCAAGCCCACUACAUUUUUAGCGAAGCCAGAAGGAAAGAUUUUUUCCUUACAGGAUAUUUAACGAAAAAUACCUUCACUUUACCUGUUUAUAGGAGCUGAAAAUUCAUCCCAUAAUAAGUCCAAUUUCUAAAUUAUAGUCAUAAUUUGUGAAUCUAUAGGUACCAAGACAAUGUGAGGCUUUUCAGGAGUACCAGAAUUACCUUUUCUGUAUCCUCUGACAGCAGGGUAAGGUCAGAAGCACAAUAUGUCACAACCAUUUUUUGCCCUACACAUUGCAACUGCGAUUGCAUCUCACAAAUUACUAGAAAGCCCAGUAUAAUACCUUGAUUUAGAAUAACGGGGGGG